UACGUAGGUGGCGAGCGUUGUCCGGAUUUACUGGGCGUAAAGGGAGCGUAGGCGGACUUUUAAGUGAGAUGUGAAAUACCCGGGCUCAACUUGGGUGCUGCAUUUCAAACUGGAAGUCUAGAGUGCAGGAGAGGAGAAUGGAAUUCCUAGUGUAGCGGUGAAAUGCGUAGAGAUUAGGAAGAACACCAGUGGCGAAGGCGAUUCUCUGGACUGUAACUGACGCUGAGGCUCGAAAGCGUGGGGAGCAAAUAGGAUUAGAUACCCCCGUA
RNAcentral lists this ribosomal RNA (269 nucleotides) under uncultured prokaryote. RNAcentral describes it as "partial 16S ribosomal RNA". It matches the Rfam family "Bacterial small subunit ribosomal RNA", at positions 524 to 792 of the family's 1533-position model. The record is from RNAcentral.